GUAUUUUGCCUUCCUUUUGAGAUAUAUAUAUAUAUAAAGAGAGUUGAGCUAGAAUACUAUCGAUAGCAAACGAGUUUUGUUGUCACUAUAUAGAAUUAGACUGGAAUACUAUUGAUAGCAAAACGCUCUUUUUGCUAUCAAGUUUUUAACCCUUGGAUAAAAAAUUGUAGGGUUAGGAUGAUAUUAGUCAGUUAAAGUUGAGUGGUCCCCGUCGGGUUGAUUGGUCCCCACUGGUUUACUACGACCCGUUUGCUAUCGAUAGUAUUCUAGCUCAACUAUA
Molecule: long non-coding RNA, 280 nt
Filed under: Ananas comosus (pineapple)
Lineage: Eukaryota; Viridiplantae; Streptophyta; Magnoliopsida; Poales; Bromeliaceae
Description: long non-coding RNA (ACOM_LNC007506)
Source: RNAcentral